AGAGUUUGAUCAUGGCUCAGAACGAACGCUGGCGGCAGGCCUAACACAUGCAAGUCGAACGGAUGUAGCAAUACAUUAGUGGCGCACGGGAGAGUAACGCGUGGGAACCUACCUUUUGGUUUGGGAUAACGUCGGGAAACUGACGCUAAUACCAGAUAAGCCCUCCGGGGGAAAGAUUUAUCGCCGAUAGAUGGGCCCGCGUUAGAUUAGCUAGUUGGUGAGGUAAUGGCUCACCAAGGCGACGAUCUAUAACUGGUCUGAGAGGAUGACCAGUCUCACUGGGACUGAGACACGGCCCAGACUCCUACGGGAGGCAGCAGUGGGGAAUAUUGGACAAUGGGGGCAACCCUGAUCCAGCCAUGCCGCGUGAACGAUGAAGGCCUUCGGGUUGUAAAGUUCUUUUGGUGGGGACGAUGAUGACGGUACCCACAGAAUAAGCACCGGCUAACUUCGUGCCAGCAGCCGCGGUAAUACGAAGGGUGCUAGCGUUGUUCGGAAUUACUGGGCGUAAAGGGCGCGUAGGCGGUUUAACAAGUUGGGUGUGAAAGCCCAGGGCUCAACCCUGGAACUGCACUCAAGACUGUUUUACUUGAAUUCGGUAGAGGUUGGUGGAAUUCCCAGUGUAGAGGUGAAAUUCGUAGAUAUUGGGAAGAAUAUCCGUGGCGAAGGCGGCCAACUGGACCGACAUUGACGCUGANGCGCGAAAGCGUGGGGAUCAAACAGGAUUAGAUACCCUGGUAGUCCACGCUGUAAACGAUGCAUGCUAGACGUUGGAAACCUCAGGUUUCU
This 789-nucleotide ribosomal RNA is filed under the name uncultured bacterium. RNAcentral describes it as "bacterial SSU rRNA". It matches the Rfam family "Bacterial small subunit ribosomal RNA", at positions 8 to 841 of the family's 1533-position model. The record is from RNAcentral.